AGUGAACGCUGGCGGUAGGCCUAACACAUGCAAGUCGAACGGCAGCACAGUAAGAGCUUGCUCUUACGGGUGGCGAGUGGCGGACGGGUGAGGAAUACAUCGGAAUCUACUUUUUCGUGGGGGAUAACGUAGGGAAACUUACGCUAAUACCGCAUACGACCUACGGGUGAAAGCAGGGGAUCUUCGGACCUUGCGCGAUUGAAUGAGCCGAUGUCGGAUUAGCUAGUUGGCGGGGUAAAGGCCCACCAAGGCGACGAUCCGUAGCUGGUCUGAGAGGAUGAUCAGCCACACUGGAACUGAGACACGGUCCAGACUCCUACGGGAGGCAGCAGUGGGGAAUAUUGGACAAGGGGCGCAAGCCCGAUCCAGCCAUACCGCGUGGGUGAAGAAGGCCUUCGGGUUGUAAAGCCCUUUUGUUGGGAAAGAAAAGCAGCAGGUUAAUACCCCGCUGUUCUGACGGUACCCAAAGAAUAAGCACCGGCUAACUUCGUGC
Molecule: ribosomal RNA, 493 nt
Filed under: uncultured bacterium
Lineage: Bacteria
Description: partial 16S ribosomal RNA
Rfam family: Bacterial small subunit ribosomal RNA
Source: RNAcentral